AUUGAACGCUGGCGGCGUGCCUAACACAUGCAAGUCGAGCGGUAACAGGUGUAGCAAUACAUGCUGACGAGCGGCGAACGGGUGAGUAAUGCUUUGGAAUCUUCCCAGUAGUGGGGAAUAACCAGUCGAAAGAUUGGCUAAUACCGCAUACGUCUGUAAAGGGAAAGCGGGGGCUCGUAAGACCUCGCGCUAUUGGAUGAGCCAAAGUCGGAUUAGCUUGUUGGUGGGGUAAUGGCCUACCAAGGCGACAAUCCGUAGCUGGUCUGAGAGGACGACCAGCCACAC
Molecule: ribosomal RNA, 285 nt
Filed under: uncultured bacterium
Lineage: Bacteria
Description: partial 16S ribosomal RNA
Rfam family: Bacterial small subunit ribosomal RNA
Source: RNAcentral